This 621-nucleotide ribosomal RNA is filed under the name Staphylococcus epidermidis. Its description in RNAcentral is "partial 23S ribosomal RNA". It matches the Rfam family "Bacterial large subunit ribosomal RNA", at positions 1 to 632 of the family's 2925-position model. Lineage: Bacteria; Bacillati; Bacillota; Bacilli; Caryophanales; Staphylococcaceae. The record is from RNAcentral.
GGUUAAGUUAAUAAGGGCGCACGGUGGAUGCCUUGGCACUAGGAGCCGAAGAAGGACGUGACAAACGACGAUAUGCCUUGGGUAGCUGUAAGUAAGCGAUGAUCCAGGGAUUUCCGAAUGGGGGAACCCAACAGGUACUACCUGUUACCCGCAUCUGUUAAGGAUGUGAGGAGGAAGACGCAGUGAACUGAAACAUCUAAGUAGCUGCAGGAAGAGAAAGCAAAAGCGAUUGCCUUAGUAGCGGCGAGCGAAACGGCAGAAGGGCAAACCGAAGAGUUUACUCUUCGGGGUUGUAGGACUGCAAUGUGGACUCAAAGAUUAUAGAAGAAUGAUUUGGGAAGAUCAGCCAAAGAGAGUAAUAGCCUCGUAUUUAAAAUAGUCUUUGUACCUAGCAGUAUCCUGAGUACGGCGGGACACGAGAAAUCCCGUCGGAAUCUGGGAGGACCAUCUCCCAACCCUAAAUACUCCCUAGUGACCGAUAGUGAACCAGUACCGUGAGGGAAAGGUGAAAAGCACCCCGGGAGGGGAGUGAAAUAGAACCUGAAACCGUGUGCCUACAACAAGUUCGAGCCCGUUAAUGGGUGAGAGCGUGCCUUUUGUAGAAUGAACCGGCGAGUUACG